This 497-nucleotide ribosomal RNA is filed under the name uncultured bacterium. RNAcentral describes it as "partial 16S ribosomal RNA". It matches the Rfam family "Bacterial small subunit ribosomal RNA", at positions 28 to 507 of the family's 1533-position model. The record is from RNAcentral.
GAUGAACGCUGGCGGCGUGCCUAAUACAUGCAAGUCGAGCGAACGGACGAGAAGCUUGCUUCUCUGAUGUUAGCGGCGGACGGGUGAGUAACACGUGGAUAACCUACCUAUAAGACUGGGAUAACUUCGGGAAACCGGAGCUAAUACCGGAUAAUAUUUUGAACCGCAUGGUUCAAAAGUGAAAGACGGUCUUGCUGUCACUUAUAGAUGGAUCCGCGCUGCAUUAGCUAGUUGGUAAGGUAACGGCUUACCAAGGCAACGAUGCAUAGCCGACCUGAGAGGGUGAUCGGCCACCAUGGAACUGAGACACGGUCCAGGCCCCUACGGGAGGCAGCAGUAGGGAAUCUUCCGCAAUUGGCGAAAGCCUGACGGAGCAACGCCGCGUGAGUGAUGAAGGUCUUCGGAUCGUAAAACUCUGUUAUUAGGGAAGAACAUAUGUGUAAGUAACUGUGCACAUCUUGACGGUACCUAAUCAGAAAGCCACGGCUAACUACGUG